RNAcentral lists this ribosomal RNA (213 nucleotides) under uncultured bacterium. RNAcentral describes it as "partial 16S ribosomal RNA". It matches the Rfam family "Bacterial small subunit ribosomal RNA", at positions 526 to 738 of the family's 1533-position model. The record is from RNAcentral.
UACGGGGGGCAAGCGUUGUUCGGAAUUACUGGGCGUAAAGGGUUCGUAGGUGGCCAACUAAGUCAGACGUGAAAUCCCUCAGCUCAACUCAGGAACUGCAUCCGAAACUGGCGGUCUGGAGUAGUGGAGAGGAAAGCAGAAUUCCUGGUGUAGAGGUGAAAUUCGUAGAUAUCAGGAGGAACACCGGUGGCGAAGGCGGCUUUCUGGACACUU